This 216-nucleotide long non-coding RNA is filed under the name Ictidomys tridecemlineatus (thirteen-lined ground squirrel). RNAcentral describes it as "lncRNA (ENSSTOG00000032849.1)". Lineage: Eukaryota; Metazoa; Chordata; Mammalia; Rodentia; Sciuridae. The record is from RNAcentral.
GGGACUCACCAGACUGGUGGCUGGAGUGGCCUGGGACUGAGCCUGAUUGAGAUGACUCUCAGCUUCCCUGUUCGCCAGGACAAGGUAGAAUAAAAUGUGUCCUGAACCAACCUGCAUGAACCUGGAAGAAACUAGCUGAAGACGGGGACACAAAGAGGAUUAGUGAGAAUGUGUUAACUGCUGUGGUCUCAAAGCGUUUUCUUAGGACCUCUUCAC